RNAcentral lists this transfer RNA (75 nucleotides) under bacterium. RNAcentral describes it as "tRNA-Gln". It matches the Rfam family "tRNA". From Rfam's summary of the family: Transfer RNA (tRNA) molecules are approximately 80 nucleotides in length. Their secondary structure includes four short double-helical elements and three loops (D, anti-codon, and T loops). RNAcentral also lists the same sequence under 1 other name. The record is from RNAcentral.
UGGGCUGUCGUCAAGUGGUAAGACACAUGGUUUUGGUCCAUGCAUUCCCGGGUUCGAAUCCUGGCAGCCCAGCCA